RNAcentral lists this unclassified non-coding RNA (447 nucleotides) under Hevea brasiliensis (rubber tree). Lineage: Eukaryota; Viridiplantae; Streptophyta; Magnoliopsida; Malpighiales; Euphorbiaceae. The record is from RNAcentral.
CUGUAAAGCCAAUCUUUGUGCACAACAAUAGAAUUGAUUGGCUUGUUUUGAAUCCUCCAACUCUUUAUUGGUGGUUUGAUCUCUCUCUCCUUAUUGUUUGCAGUGGCUACUUCCUGAAAAGGUAAUGUGUCUUCGUACUUUUCCAAUUUUCUCGCAAAUUUGUAUGAAAAGAGGCUUAUAAAAACCAACUAACUGAUAGAGAGAUAUAUAACUAUUCUUGGAGAAUUCAUCUAUAAGCUUAAGCUUUUAGAUUAAGUGGUUCAUUGACAUGGUAUCAGAGCUUCUCAGACCAAAAGAUCCAGAGUUUAAAUCCUGGCCAGCCCCAUUUAUUAGUUGAAUAUUUUAACACAAAGUGACCCUGCGCUUGUUCACGCUUCAAGCCUAGUGGGCUUUCGCGUGCAGGGGCAUAAUGGAGAGAUAUAGAACUAUUAUUGGAGCCCUCAUCUA